GCUGCAGGGGUCAAAGGGUCAGGAUGAAUUGAUUUUAUCGACUUUCAUGGCUGGGAGGAGCCCCGCUGGGCCCAGCCUCGCUUCGCCCCUCACAACCCAUGGCAGCCCGUGGAGUCUUUGCUCCCUUGGGCAGGGCCCACUUCCAGAGCACCUCAACAGUGAGUGGGCCAGGCGGACAAAAUCCGUGUCCUCUGGGGUCCCCCUUCUAGAGGCGAGGCUGCUUUAUGUUCAGGUAUUCUCCUGAUUUAUUUAUUUAUUUAUUUUUUUGCUGGAGCCGAUGCCCCAGGAACCUGUCUUCAACCUGGCAUUAGAUCAAAGCCUUAAGCCGCCAGCAUGUCUCACCAACCUGGGCCACGUCCGCAGCAUCCUGUGAGCACCCCGGAGCUCGCCCCACGGUCACCGCCGAGCCCGGCCACCAGCCCACCCACAGCCCACUCUCCACGUGGCGGCCGAGUGUUUUCCAGCUCCGUCGUAUCACACCUCAAGACGCCCUUGACCAGGGCCGACGUGAUCAGACGUGAUCUGCACUCCCUCCUCCUGUGGCAGCACGCUGGAUCAGCACCUGCAUCCACGUUCCUCUCUGUCUCCAGGACGUCCUGCACGUGCCACCCCCUCCCCUGGAAGGCCUUCCUUCUCCUGCCUGCUCCUCAGGCAUCCGACUCCUUCUCUCCCUCGAGACCUGCUGUCAGCUUUGCAACCCCAGCUGGGGUUUUCCAGCCUAACUCUUUCCUUCCUCUCUUCACAGACUUUGUUACAACUUGAAGUUGUUGAUCCAUCCCCAGGCCCCACCCCAGCCCACCAGAACAUAAGCCCUAGGAGGGCAGGUAUGAUGCAGGUUUCAUUCACCACUCUGCUCUUAACACCUAGUCCACUGCCUGGCACAUGCGGGAUGUUCAACGAAUAUUCCCCAAAUGAAUGAAUGACUUGAAUGUUCAAUCGAAUCUACCAGAAUGUGUGUACUCAAAGGAACAUUUGCCUGAAUGGCCCGCCAGGCUCCUUACUCCACAGUCAGGGGGCAUGUUUUGGGGGGCAGAUACGGGUUUCCUUUCUCCCUCCUUCCUUCUCUGUGCUGUAUCACUGUAUCCAGUGAAGGAGACUCUAAAGACAAGGGCUGGAAGAGGAAAAGAAAAGAAAAAGCAGGAGGAGGUCAGGGACUGCUGGGGCUCAGGCAGGGACGGGCCAGGGAAGCACAGCAUCAGUCAUGUGAGAAAGCAGAGUCCCGAUGGCCCAGGGGAGGCCACCAGAACCAGUGCCUGUGCCCACUGUGGGGGGCACUAGCUGAACACAAGCGCCGGAAAUCUCGCUAAGUUAGUGCAUCUAACUGUGUGUGAGCAAUGUGCAUGAUGGACUUCACGAAAUAUACUACAUUAGCCAGACAGCUUUUGAGAUGCAUGAGCAAUGGGAGUGCCUGGACUGUAUUAAUUUGCCUUCUCCACAAGUGAGGAAAAUAAUAGGUAUUCAGUGAGUCAUUGUGGAAUAAAUAAAUGAAGAUUGAAUUUUGAGGUCCUUGG
RNAcentral lists this long non-coding RNA (1511 nucleotides) under Bos indicus x Bos taurus (hybrid cattle). Its description in RNAcentral is "lncRNA (ENSBIXG00000010544.1)". Lineage: Eukaryota; Metazoa; Chordata; Mammalia; Artiodactyla; Bovidae. The record is from RNAcentral.